GCUUGGGGGGGCCGAUUUAGCCAUGCUAGUUGCACGAGUUCACACUCGUGGCGAAAAGCUCAGUAACACGUGGCCAAACUACCCUACAGAGAACGAUAACCUCGGGAAACUGAGGCUAAUAGUUCAUACGGGAGUCAUGCUUGAAUGCCGACUCCCCGAAACGCUCCGGCGCUGUAGGAUGUGGCUGCGGCCGAUUAGGUAGACGGUGGGGUAACGGCCCACCGUGCCAAUAAUCGGUACGGGUUGUGAGAGCAAGAACCCGGAGACGGAAUCUGAGACAAGAUUCCGGGCCCUACGGGGCGCAGCAGGCGCGAAACCUUUACACUGCACGCAAGUGCGAUAAGGGGACCCCAAGUGCGAGGGCAUAUAGUCCUCGCUUUUCACGACUGUAAGGCGGUCGUGGAAUAAGAGCUGGGCAAGACCGGUGCCAGCCGCCGCGGUAAUACCGGCAGCUCAAGUGAUGACCGAUAUUAUUGGGCCUAAAGCGUCCGUAGCCGGCCACGAAGGUUCAUCGGGAAAUCCGCCAGCUCAACUGGCGGGCGUCCGGUGAAAACCACGUGGCUUGGGACCGGAAGGCUCGAGGGGUACGUCUGGGGUAGGAGUGAAAUCCUGUAAUCCUGGACGGACCACCGAUGGCGAAAGCACCUCGAGAAGACGGAU
Molecule: ribosomal RNA, 660 nt
Filed under: Haloferax mediterranei
Lineage: Archaea; Methanobacteriati; Methanobacteriota; Halobacteria; Halobacteriales; Haloferacaceae
Description: bacterial SSU rRNA
Rfam family: Archaeal small subunit ribosomal RNA
Source: RNAcentral